RNAcentral lists this ribosomal RNA (1346 nucleotides) under uncultured bacterium. RNAcentral describes it as "partial 16S ribosomal RNA". It matches the Rfam family "Bacterial small subunit ribosomal RNA", at positions 28 to 1381 of the family's 1533-position model. The record is from RNAcentral.
GACGAACGCUGGCGGCGUGCUUAACACAUGCAAGUCGAACGGAAAGGCCCUGCUUUUGUGGGGUGCUCGAGUGGCGAACGGGUGAGUAACACGUGAGUAACCUGCCCUUGACUUUGGGAUAACUUCAGGAAACUGGGGCUAAUACCGGAUAGGAGCUCCUGCUGCAUGGUGGGGGUUGGAAAGUUUCGGCGGUUGGGGAUGGACUCGCGGCUUAUCAGCUUGUUGGUGGGGUAGUGGCUUACCAAGGCUUUGACGGGUAGCCGGCCUGAGAGGGUGACCGGCCACAUUGGGACUGAGAUACGGCCCAGACUCCUACGGGAGGCAGCAGUGGGGAAUAUUGCACAAUGGGCGGAAGCCUGAUGCAGCAACGCCGCGUGCGGGAUGACGGCCUUCGGGUUGUAAACCGCUUUCGCCUGUGACGAAGCGUGAGUGACGGUAAUGGGUAAAGAAGCACCGGCUAACUACGUGCCAGCAGCCGCGGUGAUACGUAGGGUGCGAGCGUUGUCCGGAUUUAUUGGGCGUAAAGGGCUCGUAGGUGGUUGAUCGCGUCGGAAGUGUAAUCUUGGGGCUUAACCCUGAGCGUGCUUUCGAUACGGGUUGACUUGAGGAAGGUAGGGGAGAAUGGAAUCCCUGGUGGAGCGGUGGAAUGCGCAGAUAUCAGGAGGAACACCAGUGGCGAAGGCGGUUCUCUGGGCCUUUCCUGACGCUGAGGAGCGAAAGCGUGGGGAGCGAACAGGCUUAGAUACCCUGGUAGUCCACGCUGUAAACGGUGGGUACUAGAUGUGGGGUCCAUUCCACGGGUUCCGUGCCGUAGCUAACGCUUUAAGUACCCCGCCUGGGGAGUACGGCCGCAAGGCUAAAACUCAAAGGAAUUGACGGGGCCCCGCACAAGCGGCGGAGCAUGCGGAUUAAUUCGAUGCAACGCGUAGAACCUUACCUGGGUUUGACAUGGAUCGGGAGUGCUCAGAGAUGGGUGUGCCUCUUUUGGGGUCGGUUCACAGGUGGUGCAUGGCUGUCGUCAGCUCGUGUCGUGAGAUGUUGGGUUAAGUCCCGCAACGAGCGCAACCCUUGUUCACUGUUGCCAGCACGUUAUGGUGGGGACUCAGUGGAGACCGCCGGGGUCAACUCGGAGGAAGGUGGGGAUGACGUCGAGUCAUCAUGCCCCUUAUGUCCAGGGCUUCACGCAUGCUACAAUGGCUGGUACAGAGAGUGGCGAGCCUGUGAGGGUGAGCGAAUCUCGGAAAGCCGGUCUCAGUUCGGAUUGGGGUCUGCAACUCGACCUCAUGAAGUCGGAGUCGCUAGUAAUCGCAGAUCAGCAACGCUGCGGUGAAUACGUUCCCGGGGCU